RNAcentral lists this transfer RNA (73 nucleotides) under Chlamydiae bacterium SM23_39. RNAcentral's name for it is "tRNA-Arg". It matches the Rfam family "tRNA". From Rfam's summary of the family: Transfer RNA (tRNA) molecules are approximately 80 nucleotides in length. Lineage: Bacteria; Pseudomonadati; Chlamydiota. RNAcentral also lists the same sequence under 1 other name. The record is from RNAcentral.
GUCCUCGUAGCUCAGCGGAUAGAGCAGCCGCCUCCUAAGCGGCAGGUCGCACGUUCAACUCGUGUCGAGGACA